GCAGCAGCCGCGGGAAUACAGAGGGUGCGAGCGUUAAUCGGAUUUACUGGGCGUAAAGCGUGCGUAGGCGGCUAAUUGAGUCGGAUGUGAAAUCCCCGAGCUUAACUUGGGAAUUGCAUUCGAUACUGGUUAGCUAGAGUGUGGGAGAGGAUGGUAGAAUUCCAGGUGUAGCGGUGAAAUGCGUAGAGAUCUGGAGGAAUACCGAUGGCGAAGGCAGCCAUCUGGCCUAACACUGACGCUGAGGUACGAAAGCAUGGGGAGCAAACAGGAUUAGAUACCCCUGUAGUCCCUGUCUCUUAUAA
RNAcentral lists this ribosomal RNA (302 nucleotides) under uncultured bacterium. RNAcentral describes it as "partial 16S ribosomal RNA". It matches the Rfam family "Bacterial small subunit ribosomal RNA", at positions 508 to 809 of the family's 1533-position model. The record is from RNAcentral.